AGUGAACGCUGGCGGUAGGCCUAACACAUGCAAGUCGAACGGCAGCACAGUAAGAGCUUGCUCUUACGGGUGGCGAGUGGCGGACGGGUGAGGAAUACAUCGGAAUCUACUUUUUCGUGGGGGAUAACGUAGGGACACUUACGCUAAUACCGCAUACGACCUACGGGUGAAAGCAGGGGAUCUUCGGACCUUGCGCGACUGAAUGAGCCGGGGUCGGAUUAGCUAGUUGGCGGGGUAAAGGCCCACCAAGGCGACGAUCCGUAGCUGGCCUGAGAGGAUGAUCAGCCACACUGGAACUGAGACGCGGUCCAGACUCCUACGGGAGGCAGCAGUGGGGAAUAUUGGACAAUGGGCGCAAGCCUGAUCCAGCCAUACCGCGUGGGUGAAGAAGGCCUUCGGGUUGUAAAGCCCUUUUGUUGGGAAAGAAAAGCAGCAGGUUAAUACCCCGCUGUUCUGACGGUACCCAAAGAAUAAGCACCGGCUAACUUCGUG
RNAcentral lists this ribosomal RNA (492 nucleotides) under uncultured bacterium. Its description in RNAcentral is "partial 16S ribosomal RNA". It matches the Rfam family "Bacterial small subunit ribosomal RNA", at positions 29 to 507 of the family's 1533-position model. The record is from RNAcentral.